GAUGAACGCUGGCGGCGUGCCUAAUACAUGCAAGUCGAGCGAACGGACGAGAAGCUUGCUUCUCUGAUGUUAGCGGCGGACGGGUGAGUAACACGUGGAUAACCUACCUAUAAGACUGGGAUAACUUCGGGAAACCGGAGCUAAUACCGGAUAAUAUUUUGAACCGCAUGGUUCAAAAGUGAAAGACGGUCUUGCUGUCACUUAUAGAUGGAUCCGCGCUGCAUUAGCUAGUUGGUAAGGUAACGGCUUACCAAGGCAACGAUGCAUAGCCGACCUGAGAGGGUGAUCGGCCACACUGGGAACUGAGACACGGUCCAGACUCCUACGGGAGCAGCAGUAGGGAAUCUUCCGCAAUGGGCAAAGCCUGACGGAGCAACGCCGCGUGAGUGAUGAAGGUCUUCGGAUCGUAAAACUCUGUUAUUAGGGAAGAACAUAUGUGUAAGUAACUGUGCACAUCUUGACGGUACCUAAUCAGAAAGCCACGGCUAAC
RNAcentral lists this ribosomal RNA (490 nucleotides) under uncultured bacterium. RNAcentral's name for it is "bacterial SSU rRNA". It matches the Rfam family "Bacterial small subunit ribosomal RNA", at positions 28 to 501 of the family's 1533-position model. The record is from RNAcentral.